Long non-coding RNA from Myotis davidii, 417 nucleotides. RefSeq lists it as uncharacterized. The transcript is spliced from 3 exons. Lineage: Eukaryota; Metazoa; Chordata; Mammalia; Chiroptera; Vespertilionidae. The record is from RefSeq and is a predicted model, not a curated record.
AGUAAGGACCCAUGAUAGAACAACUUAGCAAAAUGUUCUUUACUACUCAGCACCGUUGGUAUCCUCGUGGACAGAAUCAUACACAUCAAAAGACAGAUGAUAUUGAGGUUUCCAGUAAAAUGCUAUCCUGUUUCUCAUUUGAGAAAAUGUAAUCAGCUGGUGUGGCUGAGUGGUUGAGUAUCGACCCAUGUACCAGGAGGUCUCCAGUUUCAUUCCAGAUAACUUCUAGAGGCCUGGUGCACGAAAUUCUUGCACAGGUGCGGUUCCUAGACCUGACCAGCUAUCGAAGCUCAAAUAUCUGGCAUGGAAGGAAAGGUCCCACCUAACCUCUGGGCCCUGGACAGCACCUGGGCCCACAGGCUCCCGCACGACCCCUUCCACCUGAGUCGUGAUGCCCAAGUCCCCAUGCGGAGAUAC